Molecule: ribosomal RNA, 482 nt
Filed under: uncultured bacterium
Lineage: Bacteria
Description: partial 16S ribosomal RNA
Rfam family: Bacterial small subunit ribosomal RNA
Source: RNAcentral
GGUGAACGCUAGCGGCAGGCCUAAUACAUGCAAGUCGGACGGGAUUCAGGAGCUUGCUUCUGAUGAGAGUGGCGCACGGGUGCGUAACACGUAUGUAACCUACCUUUAUCAGGGGGAUAGCCUCUCGAAAGAGAGAUUAAGCCCGCAUAAAAUCACAGCACAGCAUUGUGUAAUGAUCAAAUAUUUAUAGGAUAAAGAUGGGCAUGCGGAACAUUAGCUAGAUGGCGGGGUAACGGCCCACCAUGGCGACGAUGUUUAGGGGAUCUGAGAGGAUGGCCCCCCACACUGGUACUGAGACACGGACCAGACUCCUACGGGAGGCAGCAGUAAGGAAUAUUGGUCAAUGGGCGGAAGCCUGAACCAGCCAUGCCGCGUGCAGGAAGACGGCCCUACGGGUUGUAAACUGCUUUUAUACGGGAAUAAACCCAGAUACGUGUAUCUGGCUGAAUGUACUGGAAGAAUAAGGAUCGGCUAACUCCGUG